This 962-nucleotide ribosomal RNA is filed under the name Bacillus licheniformis. RNAcentral describes it as "bacterial SSU rRNA". It matches the Rfam family "Bacterial small subunit ribosomal RNA", at positions 371 to 1326 of the family's 1533-position model. The record is from RNAcentral. Lineage: Bacteria; Bacillati; Bacillota; Bacilli; Caryophanales; Bacillaceae.
AUGGACGAAGUCUGACGGAGCAACGCCGCGUGAGUGAUGAAGGUUUUCGGAUCGUAAAACUCUGUUGUUAGGGAAGAACAAGUACCGUUCGAAUAGGGCGGUACCUUGACGGUACCUAACCAGAAAGCCACGGCUAACUACGUGCCAGCAGCCGCGGUAAUACGUAGGUGGCAAGCGUUGUCCGGAAUUAUUGGGCGUAAAGCGCGCGCAGGCGGUUUCUUAAGUCUGAUGUGAAAGCCCCCGGCUCAACCGGGGAGGGUCAUUGGAAACUGGGGAACUUGAGUGCAGAAGAGGAGAGUGGAAUUCCACGUGUAGCGGUGAAAUGCGUAGAGAUGUGGAGGAACACCAGUGGCGAAGGCGACUCUCUGGUCUGUAACUGACGCUGAGGCGCGAAAGCGUGGGGAGCGAACAGGAUUAGAUACCCUGGUAGUCCACGCCGUAAACGAUGAGUGCUAAGUGUUAGAGGGUUUCCGCCCUUUAGUGCUGCAGCAAACGCAUUAAGCACUCCGCCUGGGGAGUACGGUCGCAAGACUGAAACUCAAAGGAAUUGACGGGGGCCCGCACAAGCGGUGGAGCAUGUGGUUUAAUUCGAAGCAACGCGAAGAACCUUACCAGGUCUUGACAUCCUCUGACAACCCUAGAGAUAGGGCUUCCCCUUCGGGGGCAGAGUGACAGGUGGUGCAUGGUUGUCGUCAGCUCGUGUCGUGAGAUGUUGGGUUAAGUCCCGCAACGAGCGCAACCCUUGAUCUUAGUUGCCAGCAUUCAGUUGGGCACUCUAAGGUGACUGCCGGUGACAAACCGGAGGAAGGUGGGGAUGACGUCAAAUCAUCAUGCCCCUUAUGACCUGGGCUACACACGUGCUACAAUGGGCAGAACAAAGGGCAGCGAAGCCGCGAGGCUAAGCCAAUCCCACAAAUCUGUUCUCAGUUCGGAUCGCAGUCUGCAACUCGACUGCGUGAAGC